This 1372-nucleotide ribosomal RNA is filed under the name uncultured bacterium. RNAcentral describes it as "bacterial SSU rRNA". It matches the Rfam family "Bacterial small subunit ribosomal RNA", at positions 28 to 1381 of the family's 1533-position model. The record is from RNAcentral.
GAUGAACGCUGGCGGCGUGCCUAAUACAUGCAAGUCGAGCGAACGGACGAGAAGCUUGCUUCUCUGAUGUUAGCGGCGGACGGGUGAGUAACACGUGGAUAACCUACCUAUAAGACUGGGAUAACUUCGGGAAACCGGAGCUAAUACCGGAUAAUAUUUUGAACCGCAUGGUUCAAAAGUGAAAGACGGUCUUGCUGUCACUUAUAGAUGGAUCCGCGCUGCAUUAGCUAGUUGGUAAGGUAACGGCUUACCAAGGCAACGAUGCAUAGCCGACCUGAGAGGGUGAUCGGCCACACUGGAACUGAGACACGGUCCAGACUCCUACGGGAGGCAGCAGUAGGGAAUCUUCCGCAAUGGGCGAAAGCCUGACGGAGCAACGCCGCGUGAGUGAUGAAGGUCUUCGGAUCGUAAAACUCUGUUAUUAGGGAAGAACAUAUGUGUAAGUAACUGUGCACAUCUUGACGGUACCUAAUCAGAAAGCCACGGCUAACUACGUGCCAGCAGCCGCGGUAAUACGUAGGUGGCAAGCGUUAUCCGGAAUUAUUGGGCGUAAAGCGCGCGUAGGCGGUUUUUUAAGUCUGAUGUGAAAGCCCACGGCUCAACCGUGGAGGGUCAUUGGAAACUGGAAAACUUGAGUGCAGAAGAGGAAAGUGGAAUUCCAUGUGUAGCGGUGAAAUGCGCAGAGAUAUGGAGGAACACCAGUGGCGAAGGCGACUUUCUGGUCUGUAACUGACGCUGAUGUGCGAAAGCGUGGGGAUCAAACAGGAUUAGAUACCCUGGUAGUCCACGCCGUAAACGAUGAGUGCUAAGUGUUAGGGGGUUUCCGCCCCUUAGUGCUGCAGCUAACGCAUUAAGCACUCCGCCUGGGGAGUACGACCGCAAGGUUGAAACUCAAAGGAAUUGACGGGGACCCGCACAAGCGGUGGAGCAUGUGGUUUAAUUCGAAGCAACGCGAAGAACCUUACCAAAUCUUGACAUCCUUUGACAACUCUGGAGAUAGAACCUUCCCCUUCGGGGGACAAAGUGACAGGUGGUGCAUGGUUGUCGUCAGCUCGUGUCGUGAGAUGUUGGGUUAAGUCCCGCAACGAGCGCAACCCUUAAGCUUAGUUGCCAUCAUUAAGUUGGGCACUCUAAGUUGACUGCCGGUGACAAACCGGAGGAAGGUGGGGAUGACGUCAAAUCAUCAUGCCCCUUAUGAUUUGGGCUACACACGUGCUACAAUGGACAAUACAAAGGGCAGCGAAACCGCGAGGUCAAGCAAAUCCCAUAAAGUUGUUCUCAGUUCGGAUUGUAGUCUGCAACUCGACUACAUGAAGCUGGAAUCGCUAGUAAUCGUAGAUCAGCAUGCUACGGUGAAUACGUUCCCGGGUCU